Molecule: ribosomal RNA, 475 nt
Filed under: uncultured bacterium
Lineage: Bacteria
Description: bacterial SSU rRNA
Rfam family: Bacterial small subunit ribosomal RNA
Source: RNAcentral
CGCACGGGUGCGUAACGCGUAUACAAUCUGCCCUUUCACAUAGGGGAUAGCCCGAAGAAAUUUGGAUUAAUACCUAAUGGUAUAUAAGAGCGGCAUCGUUUUUAUAUUAAAGCUACGGUGGUGAAAGAUGAGUAUGCGUUCUAUUAGCUAGUUGGAGAGGUAACGGCUCCCCAAGGCGACGAUAGAUAGGGGUUCUGAGAGGGAUGUCCCCCACACUGGUACUGAGAUACGGACCAGACUCCUACGGGAGGCAGCAGUGAGGAAUAUUGGACAAUGGUCGGAAGACUGAUCCAGCCAUGCCGCGUGCAGGAUGAAGGUCCUAUGGAUUGUAAACUGCUUUUGUAAGGGAAGAAUAAGGAGUACGUGUACUUUGAUGACGGUACCUUACGAAUAAGCAUCGGCUAACUCCGUGCCAGCAGCCGCGGUAAUACGGAGGAUGCGAGCGUUAUCCGGAAUCGUUGGGUUUAAAGGGUCC